UGGAGAUACACGGAGCCCAGAGGAAGCAGGGAGGGUGGAGGCAGGGGCCACCCUGCUGAGCGGGAGUCAGGAGAGCCCUGCACGGAGGAGCAUGCCCCGAUUGUCUGAACACGAGAGGUGAGAAGCGCCACCUUCAAGUGAACGUCACCAACCCAGUACAGUGCAGCCUGCACGGGAAGAAGUGCACCGUCUCCGUGGAGACGCGGCUCAACCAGCCCCAGCCCGACUUCACCAAGAAUCGCUCGGGCUUCAUCCUCAGCGUGCCCGGGAACUGACGCCCCGCGGAGGCCUGGCCCGGAGCCCGGCCACACUCCGAGUCCUGGGUCCCAGUCCAGCUGCUGCCUCCCAACCCAUGCCCGCUAGAAACCUGCUGCGAGGGCCCCUCCCAGAGGAGCCCCGCCCCUGUAAGAUUUCCUUCCUGGUUUUCUGCCUUUGGUAUCAUCUUCCUCUGUCCUUACUGUCCACGGUCCCUGUUCAAUAAGCCAAAGACCCUGGUGCCCCGCCCAGACCCCUGGGCUGACGUCCAGACCAAUCUCACCCCAGAGGCAACUGGAUGGUGCCUUUAGUUGGUGCGGAUGCCC
This 581-nucleotide long non-coding RNA is filed under the name Homo sapiens (human). Its description in RNAcentral is "non-protein coding lnc-C17orf75-7:1". The record is from RNAcentral. Lineage: Eukaryota; Metazoa; Chordata; Mammalia; Primates; Hominidae.